ACGGGAGGCAGCAGUGGGGAAUAUUGCACAAUGGGCGGAAGCCUGAUGCAGCGACGCCGCGUGAGGGAUGACGGCCUUCGGGUUGUAAACCUCUUUCAGCAGGGAAGAAGCGUGAGUGACGGUACCUGCAGAAGAAGCACCGGCUAACUACGUGCCAGCAGCCGCGGUAAUACGUAGGGUGCGAGCGUUGUCCGGAAUUAUUGGGCGUAAAGAGCUUGUAGGCGGUUUGUCGCGUCUGCUGUGAAAAUCCGGGGCUCAACCCCGGACUUGCAGUGGGUACGGGCAGGCUAGAGUGUGGUAGGGGAGACUGGAAUUCCUGGUGUAGCGGUGGAAUGCGCAGAUAUCAGGAGGAACACCGAUGGCGAAGGCAGGUCUCUGGGCCACUACUGACGCUGAGAAGCGAAAGCAUGGGGAGCGAACAGGAUUAGAUACCCUGGUA
This 439-nucleotide ribosomal RNA is filed under the name uncultured Actinomycetales bacterium. RNAcentral describes it as "bacterial SSU rRNA". It matches the Rfam family "Bacterial small subunit ribosomal RNA", at positions 341 to 792 of the family's 1533-position model. The record is from RNAcentral. Lineage: Bacteria; Bacillati; Actinomycetota; Actinomycetes; Actinomycetales.